AGCGGAUUAGCGGCGGACGGGUGAGUAACACGUGAGUAACCUGCCUUAGACAUUGGGAUAGCCUCGGGAAACCGGGAUUAAUACCAAAUAAAAUCAUAAUGACACAUGUCAUAACGAUCAAAACUCCGGUGGUCUAAGAUGGACUCGCGUCCCAUUAGCUAGUUGGUAGAGUAAAGCCUACCAAGGCGACGAUGGGUAGCCGGCCUGAGAGGGUGAACGGCCACAUUGGAACUGAGAAACGGUCCAA
RNAcentral lists this ribosomal RNA (247 nucleotides) under uncultured Eubacteriales bacterium. Its description in RNAcentral is "uncultured Clostridiales bacterium partial 16S ribosomal RNA". It matches the Rfam family "Bacterial small subunit ribosomal RNA", at positions 86 to 334 of the family's 1533-position model. The record is from RNAcentral. Lineage: Bacteria; Bacillati; Bacillota; Clostridia; Eubacteriales.